RNAcentral lists this long non-coding RNA (301 nucleotides) under Setaria italica (foxtail millet). RNAcentral describes it as "long non-coding RNA (SITA_LNC007160)". The record is from RNAcentral. Lineage: Eukaryota; Viridiplantae; Streptophyta; Magnoliopsida; Poales; Poaceae.
AUAAAAGAAUAUUGUCAUAUAGGAAUGGGAGGCAAAAGGAUAUAUAUAUGCUAUCGCAUGAUUGUGUACACAGAGCAGUUCUAGGACUAUCUUGUGCAGUUGUGGAGGGGGGAGCCGUGAAAGAAUCCCCAUCUGCCCAACUUAUUAGCUUCAACUGCAGAGUCCAAAACAAUCUUGCUCCAAUCCCAUUCUACCCCUGUCGAUCUAAGCCAGUGCUGUGGGUACCAGUAGGGUCGCUGCGCUUCUGGUGAGUGGGUUGUGAUGUGGUUCCUAUAUAUACAGGACUAAAAGAAUCAGAGUG